GGAAACCUCAAUGCUGCGGGUUAUCUACAGCCGUAAAGAGGGCACUUCCUGUUUGCUUCUUUCUGGUACAGGAAUUAGCUCCUGGCAUAGUCUGGGAGCUGUGGGAGGCAGCAGAGGUAGCUCCUGCUUCUGCAUCAUGAAGGAAGUUGCACUUGUUCCCACAGAAACAGGAUAUCAUUGACCACAUCUGACAUGACAACACAGCAAGGAAAUGGAGCACCUUUGAACUGCAACAUAUCAUCACCCGGAGCUCGACAGAAACCCAGGCCCUCAGCUAUCCCCAUCCCCUGCUCUCCAGCCAAGACCCGGGGAGUCAGCACCUGCAUUUUCGCAAGCUCCCCAGGUGGUUUGUAGCACACUGAAGUGCCAGUAGCACUGUCUUUCAGAACUAUGCCAAGGCCAGACAGUGGCAGGGACUCAACCACACUCUGCCCCACAUGAGGAGGUUGACAGAACGCAGAGAGGGCCCAGGGACGAGGCCCAGGCCAGGCAUUUGGGGAAACACAACAGGAGGCACAGCCCAGGGGGCUGAGUCUGUGCCCAGCGACCUGGCUGGAAAGCAAUCCCAAAUCUCUCCCGCUCUGAGGACUCUGUGUGGUUAGAAAUAAUCUCUGGAAGCCAAAGGGCUAAGUGACACGUUCCCUGUAUGCCUGUCUGGCUAUCAGGGACGUCUCUUUGUUGUGAAUUCUGUCACUUCCUGUCAAAAGAGGGCUUUGGAACUGAAGUUACUCUUGAGAGCAUCAGGUAAAAUUUUUGAAUUAAAAUAAAACCAGUUGGCCAGGCGCAGUGGCUCACGCCUGUAAUCCCAGCACUUUGGGAGGCCGAGGCGGGCGGAUCACUUGAGGUCAGGAGUUUGAGACCACCCUGGCCAACAUGGCGAAACCCCCUCUCUACUAAAAAUACAAAAGUUAGCCGGCAUGGUAGCUCAUGCCUGUAAUCCCAGCUACUUGGGAGGCUGAGGCAGGAGAAUCGCUUGCACCGAGGAGGCGGAGUUUGCAGUGAGCCGAGAUCGCGACACUGCACUCCAGCCUGGCGACGGAAUGACACUCCGUCUCAAAAAUAAAUAAAUAAAACCAGUUGACAAAGGAAGCUGUGCUGAAGUAAUAGAGAUUUUAUAAUAGGAAGGAGCACAUGGGAGGGCUCCUGACUUCUUGAGACGCGACUGUCACCGAGGAAUAGGCGGGACGUUAUCAGAGGCGGAGCCCCUGCUGGCUACUCCAAGAGCCAGGUCUACCUCAAAUCCCGAACUCACAAACCUACUAGUGAGUGCUGAGCACUCCUCCAGCAGCCUCACACAGGGAGAUGCCAGGAAGAACCAACAAGCCCACUCCAUCCUGGUGGAAAUAGCUGUUAUUCCACUGGUAAUCCAUUUAGACCCGAAAAAAGGAAAAUAACAGAGGACCGUGAAUAGAACGAUUCUUCAGCAGGUUCAGAAUCUCCAACAUUCUGCUACAGCCGAGAUAAAUAAACUGAAGUUCUGCUGAACAAGAAAGGAUGUCAGUACAACCUAAAAUCAUUUGCCAGAAAAUAUGAAAAUACUGAAUCCUUCCUUUUCUGGAGGGUGGUCUUGAAGUCUCUCACCAGAAGAACACAUACUCGAAGCGGGGAAAAUGGAGCCCACUGAGCAAUGCAAGUUGGGCUCCAUUGUCAGAGUAACCACACCUGCAGAAUGGGACAUGCUUUGUUUGCCCUAACCCAAGGCCAGAUUUCUUUUUAGUUAGAAAAAAAAAAUGGUUUUAAGUAAGAAUGUUGUGCAAGGGAUAGAGUGGCGGGAAUCGUAGAAGAAGAUCACGUCCAACAACCACAGUGCACCACAAGUUCUUGGAACCUGCUGCUGCCUUCAUAUUUGGCACUAACCAGCCUAUUGUCCUGUCUAGACAAGUGCUACAGGCUGAGUAAACAGGGAAUUGCUGCAUAAAGCCUCUAUUCAUCCAGAAUGAAAAUGUGUCAAUGUGCAGCCUUUUAGAGUCCAAGGGGGCCUUUGUACAGAGAAAGAACUGUUUACAGUCACUUUGGUUUUCAAUUAGUAGUCACUUAUUAAUGUUACAAAAUUUAAAACCCAUCUGCCUUAAAUUUUAAGUGCAAUUUACAAGACAUUUGAUUUUAUUUGAAAUUCUAAUAAAAUAUGAGUCACUUUUAGUUAUUAUUUUAUUAAUACCUGAUUAACUUAAGCUAAACAGGCUAAAUUCCUUUUAAUAGCCAUUCCCAUUUACAAAGUUAGUUAAUUCCCCAAGUUCUUAGUCAUUUCCAUAAGCAUUUUAACUAUAUUUGCAAAUUUCACAUAUUUAAGGUUCUCUUCUAGGAGUUCAAAUGCUUAAAGGGUAAACUAAACAUUCCUUACAAGCAAUACAAUUUUAUAAUCUAAUAAAUUAGACUACAGAUAGAUAGAUAUUGAUAUAGAUAUAUUAAUGCACCACAUGACCACAUACACCAAUGAUGUUUGUCCCAUAAGAUUAAAAUGGAGUUGAAAAAUUCCUAUUGCCUAGUAAUAUAAUAGCCAUCGUAAUGUCAUAAGGCAACACAUUACUCAUGUAUUUGUGGUGAUGCUGGUGUAAACAAACCUACCGAGCUGCCAGUCCUAUAAAAGUCUAGCACAUACAAUUCUGUACAGUGCAUAAUACUUGAUAAUGUUAAUAAAUGGCUGUUACUGAUUUACGUAUUUGCUAUAUUUCUUCUGCUAAUUUAGAGUGUACUCUUUCUACUCAGAAAAAUAAAAAACUUAACUGUAAAACAGCUUCACACAGGUCCCUCAAGAGGUAUCCAGAAGUUGUUGUUAUCAUAGGAGAUGACAGCUCUAUGUGUGUUAUUGCCCCCAAAGACUUUCCAGUGGGACAAGAUGUGGAGGUAGAAGACCGUGAGAUUGAUGACCCUGACCCUGUGUAGGCCUAGGCUAAUUUGUGUGUUUGUUUCUUAGUUUUUAACAAAAAAGUCUAAAAAGUAAAAUAAAAUAAGUUUUAAUUUUAAAAGCUUAUAGAAUAAGAAUAUAAAGAAAGAAAAUAUUUUCAUACAACUGUACAAUGUAUUUGGGUUUUAAGCUGUGUUAUUACAAAAGAAUAAAAAGUUAAAAAGCAUUUAAAGAUUUAUAAAGUAAAAAAGUUGCUGAAUGGGACAUGCUUUGUUUGCCCUAAUCCAAGGCCAGAUUUUAGUAAGCUAAAGUUAAUUUUUUAUUGAAGAAGGAAAAUUUUUAAAAAUAAAUUUAGGGUGGCCCAAGUGUAUAGUAUUAACAGAAUCUACAGUAGUAUAUAGUAACAUCCUAUGCCUCCCAUUCACUCACCACUCACUCACUGACUUACCCAGAGCAACUUCCAGUCCUGCAAGCUCCAUUCACGGUAAGUGCCCUAUACAAGUAUACCAUUGUUUAUCUUUUAUACCAUAUUUUAAUUGUAUCUUUUCUAUGUUUAAACAUGCUUAGAUACACAAAUACUUACCAUUGUGUCAUAACUGCCUACAGUAUUCACUACAGUAACAUGCUGUACAGGCUUGUAGCCUAGGAGCAACAGGCCAUACCAUCUAGCCUAGGUGUGUAGUAGGCUCUGCCAUCUGGGUUUGUGUAAGUACACUCGAUGAUGUUCGCACAAUGAUGACAUCACCUAACAAUGCAUUUCCCAGAAAAUAUCUCCAUUGUUAGUUCAACCAUUGUGGAAGACAGUGUGGCGAUUCCUCAAGGAUCUGGAACCAGAAAUACCAUUUGACCUAGCAAUCCCAUUACUGGGUAUAUAUCCAAAGGAUUAUAAAUCAUUCUACUAUAAAGACACAUACACACGUGUGUUUAUUGAAGCACUAUUUACAAUAGCAAAGACUUGGAACCAAUCCAAAUACCCAUCAAUGAUAGACUGGAUAAAGAAAAUGUGGCACAUAUACACCAUGGAAUACUAUGCAGCCAUAAAAAAGAAUGAGUUCAUGUGCUUUGCAGGGGCAUGGAUGAAGCUGGAAACCAUCAUUCUCAGCAAACUAACACAGGAACAGAAAACCAAACACUAUAUAUUCUCACUCUUAAGUGGGAGUUGAACAAUGAAAACACAUGGACACAGGGAGGGGAACAUCACACA
Molecule: long non-coding RNA, 4049 nt
Filed under: Homo sapiens (human)
Lineage: Eukaryota; Metazoa; Chordata; Mammalia; Primates; Hominidae
Description: HSALNT0138043
Source: RNAcentral